Molecule: ribosomal RNA, 254 nt
Filed under: uncultured bacterium
Lineage: Bacteria
Description: partial 16S ribosomal RNA
Rfam family: Bacterial small subunit ribosomal RNA
Source: RNAcentral
UACGUAGGGUGCGAGCGUUGUCCGGAAUUAUUGGGAGUAAAGAGCUCGUAGGCGGUCUGUCGCGUCGGUCGUGAAAACUUGGGGCUUAACCCUGAGCUUGCGGUCGAUACGGGCAUGACUGGAGUUCGGCAGGGGAGACUGGAAUUCCUGGUGUAGCGGUGAAAUGCGCAGAUAUCAGGAGGAACACCGGUGGCGAAGGCGGGUCUCUGGACAGUUCCUGACACUGAGGCACGAAGGCCAGGGGAGCAAACGGG